CAAUUCUAUAAUUUAUAAAUAUCGGAGCUAGGCGUUAACGACGGACAGCGUAUCGGAGCUAGGCGUUAACAACGGAUAGUGUAUUAUUGCUUGUGGACUACAAGAGGAAUUAACAACGUAUCGGAGCUAGGCGUUAACGACGGACAGCGUAUCGGAGCUAGGCGUUAAUAACGGAUAGUGUAUUAUUGCUUGUGGACUACAAGAGUAAUGUCGACACUCAAUGUAUCCUUUCUGAUAUGGUUCGAUGGGCAAAUUGUAAACUCCCCCCGUGGAGUAGAAUAUCACGGUGGUUGUCGAGUGGAGAUGCCACUCAGUGAACGAAUGAAUUUCGAUGAAUUGGUUAACAUUUGUAAAAGGGCAGUUUGUAGCGGACCGAACUCUACUAACUCAGAAGUGGAGAUUACACAAAUUUUAUUCAGACUGCCUAAAUUUGUAAGGGGUGAAGUAGAUUCGUACGCACUCUUUUUAGUGCAGGACAAUAACCAUUUAUUUGGAAUACUAACCGAAUCUAUGAGAUGUCCGAAUCUACGAAUUAUGGAGUUCUACGUUGAGUACCGGAUUUUGGGUGGAACUGAAAUUUCGCUGGAUAAUUUG
This is a long non-coding RNA of Mercurialis annua (annual mercury), 594 nucleotides long. RefSeq lists it as uncharacterized. The record is from RefSeq and is a predicted model, not a curated record. The transcript has 3 exons. NCBI's taxonomy places the organism in Eukaryota, Viridiplantae, Streptophyta, Magnoliopsida, Malpighiales, Euphorbiaceae.